GAUUAGAUACCAUUGUAGUUCUAGCAGUAAACUAUGUUAAAUCAUAGAUAUAUUUUAAAUAUAUAUUUAUGUAAAGAAAUUAAGAUUAUAUUGACUCUGGGGAUAGUAUGAUCGCAAGAUUGAAAAUUAAAGAAAUUGACGGAAGAAUACCACAAGGAGUGGAUUGUGCGGCUUAAUUUGACUCAACGCGGGGUAAUUUACCAGGUAUAACAUGAUAUAAUAUUUUAUCAUGAUAGUGGUGCAUGGCCGUUUCCAAUGGAUGCUGUGAAGUAAUGAUUAAUUUCAACAAGAUGUGAGACCCUCUAUUAAGACAGAUGUAGUGAUACAUAUGAAGGAGAGGAUUAAAACAGGUCCGUUAUGCCCUAAGAUAAUCUGGGUUGCACGCGCAAUACAAUGAUAUCUAAUAUUAUAAGGGAUAAUAUAAUGUAAGAUAUAUUUGAACAUGGAAUUGCUAGUAAAUUUUAUUUAAUAAGUAGAAUUGAAUGUGUCCCUGUUCUUUGUACACACCGCCCGUCGCUAUCUAAGAUGGUAUUAUCUAUGAACAAAUUUAUAAAGUGAAUAGAUAGUACUAGAUCUGAUAUAAGUCGUAACAUGGUUGCUGUUGGAGAACCAUUAGCAGGAUCAUAA
RNAcentral lists this ribosomal RNA (627 nucleotides) under Nosema maddoxi. Its description in RNAcentral is "SSU rRNA". It matches the Rfam family "Microsporidia small subunit ribosomal RNA", at positions 659 to 1311 of the family's 1311-position model. Lineage: Eukaryota; Fungi; Microsporidia; Nosematidae. The record is from RNAcentral.